This 1026-nucleotide long non-coding RNA is filed under the name Calidris pugnax (ruff). RNAcentral's name for it is "lncRNA (ENSCPUG00000014773.1)". Lineage: Eukaryota; Metazoa; Chordata; Aves; Charadriiformes; Scolopacidae. The record is from RNAcentral.
CCACAGGCACCCUGCAACACAUACAGAGCAACUGAUGAAGCCCACGAUUGAGGAGGAUGCCAUGCAGUGUCUGAAUUAUACAUACGCCUUGCUUUUGCUUUCCUUAAACCAUUGUGAUGACGUGCCAUUUAGCUGCAUAAUGUCACUGCUACGGAUACUUGCUAUGUUUCCUGCAAUAUCAGAUACGUUGCAAGCAAAUCAGGAAUUUCAGCAGUUUAUCUCAGAGAGAUACAAUGAGUUUGCAGAUUACAUCAAUAAUUGGCUGGAAAAAUCCUUUCUAAGGUCAACUAGAAAGUUCUUGGAGACCAUCAGCGUGAGUAGCAAGAACCCACAGAAGGGAUAACCACUCACCUGGAAGGUCUGUCUGUCCCUUGAGGCCCAGUUGACCAGUUUUACUUUCCUGCCAUAGGUGUGGAAUGAGCUGUUCUUGUUUGAGAUCCUCUGUGUGGAAUGGACCCAGAAAUGGCAAAGCCUGUUACGCUGCAUGUUUGAAAGGUGGCUGAAGAAAGCAGAUGACAGAAAACUUCUGGACUUCUACCUGGAAUUCAUGAAGGCGGACAAGCAUUGGAAUACAAAUAUGGAGAGCUGCUUUACAGAUUGUGUCAUUCAAAGGCUUAAAUACUUUGACAAAAGUGAGGAGCCCAUGUUAGGAAAAAUGGUUUCCACAAUCAUCAAGACAAACAGGUCAACUGUCGAGAAAAUGCUUUCUGCUGUUGUUGAGAAAAUAUUCUUAGACAAGAUGAACACGUUGCAAAAAGUAGACAGUUUUGUUGACAGCACGGGACAAGUUCUCACGGAGUUGCUCAGCUCUUCCGUGAUCUAUGAUGUCCUCUCCACUGUUGAAAAAUCAGAACGUAACCUUCAAAAAGAGAUCAAUGAAAAAGCAACAGCCCUACUUACCCGGUUUUAUGAUUUCUUCGUUUUUUUGAGACACCAUUUUUUCUCAGGAGACAUCCCCUGCAACAUACUCUCCAUCAUCUUGAAACAUCAAGAGCUAUUUCAGAAGAUACUGUGCAUCUGCGGUAA